This is a long non-coding RNA of Sebastes umbrosus (honeycomb rockfish), 512 nucleotides long. RefSeq lists it as uncharacterized. The record is from RefSeq and is a predicted model, not a curated record. Lineage: Eukaryota; Metazoa; Chordata; Actinopteri; Perciformes; Sebastidae. The transcript is spliced from 3 exons.
CAGAAGAGUCUGUGGCGUGGGGGGAGGAGACAUCUCAAGCAGCUUGAGCAUCUCCACCGUUGAUAAACCUUUGUCCCCAGCCAUGAAGUUGGACUCCAUUGAGGUGGAGGGCUCCAUCACGUUUGACUGUGCGUGAUGAGUCACUGUCACACUUGUCGUUGAGGUAGAGGGCUGCAUCACGUUUGACUGUGCGUGAUGAGUCACUGUCGUUGAGGUGGAGGGCUGCAUCACGUUUGACUGUGCGUGAUGAGUCACUGUCGUUGAGGUGGAGGGCUGCAUCACGUUUGACUGUGCGUGAUGAGUCUCUCUCACACCUGUCGUUGAGGUAGAGGGCUUUAUCAUGUUUGACUGUGCGUCAUGAGUCACUGUCACGUCUUUCAUCGAGGUAGAGGGCUGCAUCACGUUUGACUGUGCGUGAUGAGUCACGCUCACACCUGUCGUUGAGGUAGAGGGCUGCAUCAUUUUAGACCGUGCGUGAUGAGACACUGUCACGUCUGUCAUCGAGGUGGAGG